This 255-nucleotide long non-coding RNA is filed under the name Eucalyptus grandis. RNAcentral describes it as "long non-coding RNA (EGRA_LNC000219)". The record is from RNAcentral. Lineage: Eukaryota; Viridiplantae; Streptophyta; Magnoliopsida; Myrtales; Myrtaceae.
UUUGGACCGAUUCCAGCGCGUAUAGACCAAACGCUUUUCGACUCCUUUCUUGAUUUUUUCCGGACCUUUUCCUUCCGAUCAUCGGAUUGUACGACGGCGACUUGACCCUCUUUUUUUUUUGUCAGUCGGCGACUUUUCUCCACUUUCAAACUCUCCCAAUUCCACCUUCUUCUCAUCAUCGGAUUCAGAAAUCAAUCUCUCUGUCCCUCAAUUCUCUCUCAGUUCAUCAUCGAACUCCAAAGAUGCACAUCUUCG